GUUUCUAGCAGGCUGUAAAACUAAUAACUUGAAGCGGUGCCGUGGCCUGGAUAAUGUCCUGGAUUCUGAAACAGUGAACUCCAACAAAGCUCUGAUCUCAAGCAACAAGAUUGGUGGAGAUAAAGAAGAGCUUCCAAGAGAGUGAAGAGCAUGAAUAAGGAUGUGUUUCAAGAACUCACUGACGUAGCCAUUCAAAGGCUGCAGCUCUUGGAGUGCCGAAGUGUUGGCACGCUGCUUGCCUUACGAGCCUGUGAAACCCGUGAACAAAAGCUAUGGUCCUACAAAGUGGCGCAAUUCCCUCAUGUUGGCUGGCAUCAAACUCCAAAUGCUGCACAGGAAGAAAUCUUCCCUCCCAAGCCUGCCAGCCCAGGAACCUAAGCUUUUGUGAGUUCAUGUGGGGAGAAAUAUCUUAAAUAGGUUAUACAUUUAUUGUUACCACUGUACACCUGUAGAACUCUGCAGAACUGAAGGCACCAGACAGAUGGGAAACCUGAAGAGCAUAUGAGCUUCCUGCAGGUGUCUCAAAGGGAAAUAGGAAAAAGGACAAGCGGCUGUGAUCAAAAUUUGCUGUGAAAGAAGACAAAGAAGAGGAGGCAAAAUAGUUUCUGUUCUUUCUAUGGAGUUUUUAAAGGUCCUUGAUGUAAUUAGAUUUUUUAACUUAUUGUUCAGAAUACAUAGUUUGCACAUAUCUUUGAAAUCUUGGUUUAGUAUUCUGUGUGCUACUUUAUACUUAGAAAUUUGAGCCUACAUUCUCUAACUGGAAUCCUUUGCAGGCAAAACACAGACAGUGGGCUUGUGAAUGCCUUCAAAAAUCUUUUGUAAUAUGAAAAACUAUUGAAGCUCCAAAACUACCUAUACACCUCUAUAUUUUACCACUUAUGUUUGUGAUGAAUAGCACUUAGGAAACAUGGUCAAAUAGGACAAGUGAUUAGAAAGGACUUCUUGAGUCACCUAGUCCAGGUAACCUUGUCGUAUGCUCCCUUUCAUAACUCAAACUCCACAUUAAGAGUAGGUGGGUUGUUAGACUCCAUCAUCCCAAGGGAGUUUUUCCAGAUUGUGAUUACACCAGUGAUUUAGACAUUUCUUCUAACUUACAGUCUAAAUGUGUCAGUGGCUGGUGUGCAUCCAUCUGUUCUUACGGUAAAGUUGUUCUUGUGUAAGUGCCUUUCUUUGGAGUUUUUGUUUUGCUAGCAUAAGCUAUUAGCAUAUAUAUUCUUGUAAUGCAGACUUUGUUUUUCAUGUGAUAAUCCUGAUAACUUUCCUCUAAUCCCACUCUGUGUCUCUUGGGAAUUCAUGUCACUUGAGAAUGGGGAACCUACUGUUGUACCUGCUAUUGCAAAUGGGAGCUAACCAAACCUUGUACAGUAGUAUUACUAUUUCCCUUUGUGACGUAUUGAUAGCAGAGACACUUUUAAAACGUUUUAAGGCUGAAGUUCUCUCUUUACAGCUGCAUCAUGUUAUUGUUCAUAACUGCCCUUAGCUCAGGGGAAAAAGCUCUAUUGUUGCUAGCUGAUGAGUUCCUUGCUUAUAGUAAAAAUGAAGUAAUUCCCUGGUGUAUGAACUUGUUUUUAUGCUACUGAGUUUCCUCCUUUUUCUGUUACUUUGGUUCACAAAGUCCUCAUACAACAUACUCUAAUCCUCUGAAUUGAUGUUUCUUCCCAGUUUUGUGUCAUCAUCAAAUUCUAUUAGCACAUGCUGACGUUCUGAGCCAAUGCUAUGAGGAAAAAUAUUAAGUAAGAUCAGUCUUGGAAGCAGUCCCGAGGAAGUACCUCUGUUACUCUAACUGUUCUCCAUUUAUCACUGCCUGGGACCUUGUCCCCUCAGCCAGAGCUUCACCCAUUUCAAAAUUCAUGCAUCAACCUCUGCUGUUUCUAGGUACAUUCAUACGCUACCCUGCAGCCUUUUUGGAACCCAAGAGGAAAGAUUUACUGCAAAGCUCGUACCUCAAAAAUAAGCUGCCAGAUUUCACAAGAGUGAUCCACCUGUGUUGAACUAGUCUUGUACCUCAUUGCACUCACCUCUCUGCCUUCAGCUGCACCUGUGGUUUCCUUCUUUAAAACACUGGCUUCUGUGAAGAUCGGGCCUGAAAUGCUCAGAACCAGAGCUUAAGCAGUGCUUGUAUGAAGCUAUAUUUUCCUGUUGCCCACGAUCAUAGAAUCACAGUAUCUUUAAGAUUGGAAAAAACCACUAAGAUCAUCGAGUCCAACCAUGAACUUAUCCCCACAUGGUUUGCUGUUUUCCAAGUGCUCGGCAUUUUCUCCACGCUCAGUGGUGGGGAGCACUGGACAGCAAAUGACAGGACACAGCUGUGUCCCCAUUCUUCUGCUCUAGACCUACACCUGGCCAGUGCAGGGAACCAUAAGCAUUACAAUGCUUAUGUAAAUGGUCCGUGAGUGUCAACAGUCACAUUUUUUGAGAGGCAAAAAAUAAACAGUCUGUCCCUGAUACUUCUAAUCUGCUGAUUUUCCUAAACCUGUCAUAAAUAAAAACAUUUAGUUUAUACACAGUCUUUUUAUUAGCACUUCUGGACCACAUAAAGUAACAUUUACCUGACAUGUAAUGAUGUAGUACCUUUUCCAAAAGAAUAUGUCUGUGCCCAAACUUAGCAUCUCUCUUUCCUAAUGUCUCCAUUACCAGGUUAUUUAUCAGUACAUGGUGUACUGCCCAAUUAGGUAUGUGUUCCAGUAGCUUAAAGGAGUGAGAACAGCUUUAUUUAACAGUUGGUAAUUAAAAGUGAGUCUCUGGGGAGAAAGGCUUCCCCUGAUCAUCACUUCUUGUUUUUAAAGAUGCAACUACGACAGAUUCAGUGAGGCGAGGGAGCAGAACCUGCUAUCACUAGCUAUUGUGUAUUGAGGUGUACACUGAAAUUAGAAGUACAAGUCAACUAAUGGAAACCAUAGUGACACUGAAACCCAGGUUAAUCUAUAGUGACAGUGAAGACUACCAGCUCCAGUGGUGGUGGAGAUAAAGGAAAGCCAACACUAGGGAUGAGGGAUACAAAUUUACCACACUUUUCUUCCAGCUGUAGAAGCUGUUGAGACCUUGGCUGUGUGACUACUGCCACUCCUUGGGUGCUGAGGGCGUAAGCAAGAUGUUGACCAGCAGCACAGCUCACAAAAGAUUCCUGGAAAUAACAGGCCUUGAAAGUGUGCAUGCCUCUUCAUCCCAUCCUGUCGUAGGAGUGUUAACCAAGUCAGAAUCAAAGGAAGCUUAUGGCUAUUCAUCUGCAGCACGGGAAAGCUGUGGGGCUUCGAUUGUACACCAAGGAGCUUGUAAUAAGACAGAUGUGCAGUAUUCACAGCAACUACUUUUAAAAGCUGUUCACUUCUUUUCUGAUGAAAGGGCAAUCUACAGUAACAUCCUAAAUCCAAGGAAAGGGACAAGUUCCUAUAAAGUAAAUGGUGGAACUUACAGCAGCCUUGAAAGGCAUCCUUUAGCUAAUGUUCUGGGGUAACGGGUCUGAAUCAAAGAGUAAGGUGCAAGUAUGCUUCUAUAUCAUCUUCCAUGGUAUAGGAGAGUGCAUGGAUGCUUAACGUGGUUAUCAUGCACGUAAGUAGCACAUACUUCAGUCAGUGCUUAAGUUAAGCAUUGAGAAGACAUCAUAAAAGAAGAAAGAAAGCAGUAACACUAGGAUGCUUACCAGUCAAAAUUUCUAUAACAUAAUUUGAAGACUAAAUUAAGCUCAUAUUGAUGGACUACAGAUGUUACUGCUCCAGUCUCAAAUGAAAGAGGUUUAUGGGAGUUUGUCUUUUGGGGAAGUUAAAUCAGGGCUAGUGUUUCUGAAAUUUUUGUGUCCAGUUGUGAAGUGGUUUGGGCAAUAUUACAAUAUUUAAAUACUUUUUUUUCACUGAAGGGGAGGGGAAUAUAUCUCAGUUUUAGUUCUGACCUGUUACAGAUUUGUUGGUUUUAUAGUUUCCUCUUCCCGAGCAUGAGCACAGGGUUUUUCACUGAGUCCACUCAAUGAGAGCUUGUUGAAGAGCACUGCUCCGCUUGCAUCUCUGAUGAACAAAUGGUUUGCUUUGUUGUUGGAUUCUGCAGCUGACUCUCAGUAUUUUCCUUGCCUUACUGCUAAAAAAGAGUACCAACAGGACAAAUUCUUCUCUGGAAAAUCAUCAUGCACUUAUAUGCUUCAUAGCUGAAAAAAAUAAAUUGGAUAUAGUUAGUUUUUAUAGUUAGUUUUCAGAGCCUGGAUAGUUGUCCAGCUGUGAAGUAGUGUCCUUAGUGGAUUUCAUUAUCUGGCUGAGAAGUCGUCAAAAAAAACCCACAAAAAACCCUGCAGAAAACAAGUCUGACUUGAACAUCUGGAAAAUGAGGAGUGGAAAACAAAUGAAAGGGCCUGAUGUAUUCUGUGCCAGUAGGAUUUGCAAAGAGAUGCAAAUGACUAAGGGUGAGUGAUCUACUUUCUGUAAGCAAUCAGCGUGACAGACUUAACCCCUUUUUUUGUUUGCAAAUUGUCCUGAAUUAAGUGCUGCUGCUUACAGAUGUGUUUGCUAUUUGCAUACACUUUGUGAAUAAACUUCUGCCUGUGUGUUAGUCAUGCACUGUUCAGCAUGACUAUUGCUUGAGUGUUUGUUGUUUAUAGAGUGUGAUUCACCAGACCUGCAAGGAGCUGUAAGGAGGGCUGCAAUGAGCAUUACUAGAAAUAUGCGUAUGAAUGAAUAUUCACAAAUUGUGAGCAUGUUUGUGAUGCAUUUCAUUUCCCUGCAAACAACCAUAUUUUGGAAGAAAACUUUAUUUGUACAGAAAAAAUACCCUGUGAUUAGGAACCUUUGGAAUGGGAAUGGUUGUGGAAAACUUCUUGAAGCCAUUUAUAUCUGAGUUUCUUCUAUCAAGCCAACUGGCAAGUGUCCAACCAAGGGCAGAAGGGUGUGUACAACAGUGGGUACAACCUAGUAAUACACUUGAUAUGGUUCUCGUGUUGGCCUCUUGAGAUAAGCACUUGGGCUUCCAUCACAGGGUGCUUCCUGGUUGUAUCCAUUAUUUUUCCCUGUUACUGCAGGUGUGCCUUUAGGCUAACCAAUGCUCUCUUCUGCCGUGGCCUUGGUCUCUUGUGGGAUCUCUGUUGUCGGAGUUGUUGCAGCAGAGUUUGCUCCUGCUAUAGGGACAAAGGCUGUGGCAUCGGUGGUGUUAAAGACUGGCAGGUGGGUGGCCUUGGUGCACCCUGCAAGAAGGAAAUUUUGGGCUGUAUGGUAUCAGGCCUGGAUACAUGACCUGAAGGUCUUUCCAUGUGAGUUCAGUGAAUAUCCUACCUGCUUUAGUCAAGUUAUUGUUUGGUUUGCACUGGGAAAUGCCCAGUGCCCACAUAUUGUGCCCACAAAAAGAUCUCCACCUCAUUAAAAAAAAUAACAAGGUGCCACUUGACUGUCCCGUACUGGCAAAAUUGCUCAGACUGAGUUACUGGUGAGUACAGAGUUGAAAUGUUUGCUUUUGCAGUGCAAAAUAUUAACAAAAAUGUCAUUGUCUUUUCCUUCUCUUAGACCACCCAAAGGAAGACCCCUUUCUCCUCUCAGAGGACCUCUGGUCUGGUCCCUGCUGUACCUCGCAAUUGCAAGGUCGGAGGGAGUUCCUGGACCCCAGAGGUGUUCAGACUUACUGGAAUCAUGGCAUAGCCAGAAAGUAAAACUGGGGGCGUGAGGAAAAGGCUGAGUGUGAGGAAAUGGCAGAAACAGACUAAUAUUAGAGAAGUUGCAUGGACACAUAGGCUCGCUCUGUAGAGCUCAAGGCUCCCAGGCCAUGUAAAAGUUCAAGGGUCACUUCAAAAAAUAUGUUUUAUAUCAAAUAUAAACACUCUGUGCUCUCAAGAUGCCUCCCUUCCUUGUCUUAAUUUUCAUUAAGAAAACACAAUUCUGGUUUAGGGUGUUGUUCUUUAGGGGGGGAAGGGAGGGAAAUAGAAGCUGAGGAAGAUCCUUUUUUUGUUAGUUUUAAAGCAUGAAAAGGCAAGAAAACAAAACACAUGGUAGAGGAUUUGUUGUAGCCCCAGCAGUCCCCUUAUCUUUCUUUUUCUGCUGACUUCCUGCUCUGAAUGCUUUGGCAGCUUUGAGGGCAGCGUAUAAACUUUGCAAACAUGAAGGAAUUCAAAUGGAACCCUGGACGUCAUCACAUUUUCCAAGUUGGACAUAAAUCACAGUUUGUUAUGGUUAUUCUCUUGAGAGGCAGAACAUGUGCAAGGAGAUAAGAGCUUGGAGGAAGGAGAGGCAUAGGGUAUCUCAGAAGAAAAGAAAGGUCAGUAGGAAAGGCCUAGUAAGAAAUGUUUUGACAGUGUCAAUUGAGCUGAAGAGUCAUUGAGGAAUUGGUGUGAGUUCUCAUUGUUGCAGACAUUGCCCCACCUAAAUUUAAGAAGGCUUGCUAUGGAGAUGGCAGGGAACUCUAUCCCUUGUCAUUCAGAUUUUGUGUUACUGAAAGUGGGAUUUUCCUGGUGAGACAGUAUUUUCCAACCACAGCAGUGCAUGAUUCAUCAGCCAGAUCUGCAGGUGAUAUAAAUAGACACAGCUUCUGCUAGCUUCAGUGGUCUUGCACUGACUUACAUCAGCACAUGAAACUUGGGAUGGAAAGUUCCCAUCAGUUUGCCCUGUCUCUACCCCAGCUGCUGCCAGCUAUGUCAGUCCAGGCCUGAGUUAGGACGAGUUACAGAGUUGUCCCCAGCUAACUGGAAAACUCAGUUUCUGUUAAUGAGCUGACGGCAUAGGCCUUUUCUAAUAUUCAUCCUAUGUUUUCCCAUGCCUAAUCCUGCUUUGCUCUUUGUUUGGCGACUUUUUUCUCAGUUUCUGGUGCUGUUUGGUUGUUUGGGGUACAGCGUGUUCUGCUGGCCCUCUGCAACAAAACUGGGCACUCGCGGUUUUCUGCUUCAGUGCUCCUUCAGAGAUCUGAACCCUGGGUUUGGCUGUGAAUUGAGCUCUUUUAAAUAUUAAUCUUUUAACUGGAGAGUUAACUGCUUAUCUGGUGGGAGGUUAACCUGCAAAACUGCUCUAGAAAAGAAGGUAAUUAUAUUUAUAACUUGGCUGCAUUGUGUGGAAUGCAAACAAGGGUUAAGUGGCUGUAAUUACCUACGCAGUAUGCAACGUGUCAAUCCUAUUCUACAACAACAGGAGCAAGGCCAGCUGAGCCUGGACCUGUUGCUUUGGCCGCCCGUGGGUUUCCAAGAAGCUUCCACCCUGCCACUUUUCUCUGCUUAACCAGCAUAUUUCAUAAGAAUAACAUCCAAUCACUGUGUUAAGUGGUGCUCAGAGGUGUUUUUAUCUCCCUUGGUAUGCUAUUAUUUGCUCCGUUAUGAUGCCACAGAAUGAACAAGUGGAACAACAGGUUGGAAGACGUUUGUUAUUUUCAGACAUAUUCAAUGAGGCGUUUUUUGCAUCCCUAUUAUACCAGGCCUCCAAGGAAAGGAGGGAUGUGUAUAAUUUGGCUGAGCUUGUUUCUUUCACGAGGAAUGACGUCAAUAAUCUCCAGAAAUAAAAUACAAUGAGACUUGCUCUCUUCAUGCUGGAUUUGGCAAAAAAAAAAAAAAAAAA
Numida meleagris (helmeted guineafowl) is the source of this 7505-nucleotide long non-coding RNA. RefSeq lists it as uncharacterized. Lineage: Eukaryota; Metazoa; Chordata; Aves; Galliformes; Numididae. The transcript is spliced from 3 exons. The record is from RefSeq and is a predicted model, not a curated record.